AGCAAAAUAAUUUAAAUAAAAUAUUUACCUUGAAAGUAAAAAAUGAAAUUAAGUAUUCUUUUGCUU
This 66-nucleotide transfer RNA is filed under the name Mycopsylla proxima. RNAcentral's name for it is "tRNA-Ser". The record is from RNAcentral. Lineage: Eukaryota; Metazoa; Arthropoda; Insecta; Hemiptera; Carsidaridae.